GUGCCAGCCGCCGCGGUAAGACGUAGGAGGCGAGCGUUAUCCGGAUUCACUGGGCGUAAAGCGCAUGUAGGCGGUUCGCUAAGUCAUGUGUUAAAGCCCCUGGCUCAACUGGGGGAGGUCAUGUGAGACUAUCGGACUUGAGGGCAGUAGAGGCACGUGGAACUCCCGGUGUAGCGGUGGAAUGCGUAGAGAUCGGGAAGAACACCCGUGGCGAAGGCGACGUGCUGGGCUGCACCUGACGCUGAGAUGCGAAAGUGUGGGGAGCAAACGGGAUUAGAUACCCUAGUAGUCC
This 292-nucleotide ribosomal RNA is filed under the name uncultured bacterium. RNAcentral describes it as "partial 16S ribosomal RNA". It matches the Rfam family "Bacterial small subunit ribosomal RNA", at positions 505 to 796 of the family's 1533-position model. The record is from RNAcentral.